This 2921-nucleotide ribosomal RNA is filed under the name Staphylococcus aureus DAR1507. RNAcentral's name for it is "bacterial LSU rRNA". It matches the Rfam family "Bacterial large subunit ribosomal RNA". The record is from RNAcentral. Lineage: Bacteria; Bacillati; Bacillota; Bacilli; Caryophanales; Staphylococcaceae.
UUAAGUUAUUAAGGGCGCACGGUGGAUGCCUUGGCACUAGAAGCCGAUGAAGGACGUUACUAACGACGAUAUGCUUUGGGGAGCUGUAAGUAAGCUUUGAUCCAGAGAUUUCCGAAUGGGGAAACCCAGCAUGAGUUAUGUCAUGUUAUCGAUAUGUGAAUACAUAGCAUAUCAGAAGGCACACCCGGAGAACUGAAACAUCUUAGUACCCGGAGGAAGAGAAAGAAAAUUCGAUUCCCUUAGUAGCGGCGAGCGAAACGGGAAGAGCCCAAACCAACAAGCUUGCUUGUUGGGGUUGUAGGACACUCUAUACGGAGUUACAAAGGACGACAUUAGACGAAUCAUCUGGAAAGAUGAAUCAAAGAAGGUAAUAAUCCUGUAGUCGAAAAUGUUGUCUCUCUUGAGUGGAUCCUGAGUACGACGGAGCACGUGAAAUUCCGUCGGAAUCUGGGAGGACCAUCUCCUAAGGCUAAAUACUCUCUAGUGACCGAUAGUGAACCAGUACCGUGAGGGAAAGGUGAAAAGCACCCCGGAAGGGGAGUGAAAUAGAACCUGAAACCGUGUGCUUACAAGUAGUCAGAGCCCGUUAAUGGGUGAUGGCGUGCCUUUUGUAGAAUGAACCGGCGAGUUACGAUUUGAUGCAAGGUUAAGCAGUAAAUGUGGAGCCGUAGCGAAAGCGAGUCUGAAUAGGGCGUUUAGUAUUUGGUCGUAGACCCGAAACCAGGUGAUCUACCCUUGGUCAGGUUGAAGUUCAGGUAACACUGAAUGGAGGACCGAACCGACUUACGUUGAAAAGUGAGCGGAUGAACUGAGGGUAGCGGAGAAAUUCCAAUCGAACCUGGAGAUAGCUGGUUCUCUCCGAAAUAGCUUUAGGGCUAGCCUCAAGUGAUGAUUAUUGGAGGUAGAGCACUGUUUGGACGAGGGGCCCCUCUCGGGUUACCGAAUUCAGACAAACUCCGAAUGCCAAUUAAUUUAACUUGGGAGUCAGAACAUGGGUGAUAAGGUCCGUGUUCGAAAGGGAAACAGCCCAGACCACCAGCUAAGGUCCCAAAAUAUAUGUUAAGUGGAAAAGGAUGUGGCGUUGCCCAGACAACUAGGAUGUUGGCUUAGAAGCAGCCAUCAUUUAAAGAGUGCGUAAUAGCUCACUAGUCGAGUGACACUGCGCCGAAAAUGUACCGGGGCUAAACAUAUUACCGAAGCUGUGGAUUGUCCUUUGGACAAUGGUAGGAGAGCGUUCUAAGGGCGUUGAAGCAUGAUCGUAAGGACAUGUGGAGCGCUUAGAAGUGAGAAUGCCGGUGUGAGUAGCGAAAGACGGGUGAGAAUCCCGUCCACCGAUUGACUAAGGUUUCCAGAGGAAGGCUCGUCCGCUCUGGGUUAGUCGGGUCCUAAGCUGAGGCCGACAGGCGUAGGCGAUGGAUAACAGGUUGAUAUUCCUGUACCACCUAUAAUCGUUUUAAUCGAUGGGGGGACGCAGUAGGAUAGGCGAAGCGUGCGAUUGGAUUGCACGUCUAAGCAGUAAGGCUGAGUAUUAGGCAAAUCCGGUACUCGUUAAGGCUGAGCUGUGAUGGGGAGAAGACAUUGUGUCUUCGAGUCGUUGAUUUCACACUGCCGAGAAAAGCCUCUAGAUAGAAAAUAGGUGCCCGUACCGCAAACCGACACAGGUAGUCAAGAUGAGAAUUCUAAGGUGAGCGAGCGAACUCUCGUUAAGGAACUCGGCAAAAUGACCCCGUAACUUCGGGAGAAGGGGUGCUCUUUAGGGUUAACGCCCAGAAGAGCCGCAGUGAAUAGGCCCAAGCGACUGUUUAUCAAAAACACAGGUCUCUGCUAAACCGUAAGGUGAUGUAUAGGGGCUGACGCCUGCCCGGUGCUGGAAGGUUAAGAGGAGUGGUUAGCUUCUGCGAAGCUACGAAUCGAAGCCCCAGUAAACGGCGGCCGUAACUAUAACGGUCCUAAGGUAGCGAAAUUCCUUGUCGGGUAAGUUCCGACCCGCACGAAAGGCGUAACGAUUUGGGCACUGUCUCAACGAGAGACUCGGUGAAAUCAUAGUACCUGUGAAGAUGCAGGUUACCCGCGACAGGACGGAAAGACCCCGUGGAGCUUUACUGUAGCCUGAUAUUGAAAUUCGGCACAGCUUGUACAGGAUAGGUAGGAGCCUUUGAAACGUGAGCGCUAGCUUACGUGGAGGCGCUGGUGGGAUACUACCCUAGCUGUGUUGGCUUUCUAACCCGCACCACUUAUCGUGGUGGGAGACAGUGUCAGGCGGGCAGUUUGACUGGGGCGGUCGCCUCCUAAAAGGUAACGGAGGCGCUCAAAGGUUCCCUCAGAAUGGUUGGAAAUCAUUCAUAGAGUGUAAAGGCAUAAGGGAGCUUGACUGCGAGACCUACAAGUCGAGCAGGGUCGAAAGACGGACUUAGUGAUCCGGUGGUUCCGCAUGGAAGGGCCAUCGCUCAACGGAUAAAAGCUACCCCGGGGAUAACAGGCUUAUCUCCCCCAAGAGUUCACAUCGACGGGGAGGUUUGGCACCUCGAUGUCGGCUCAUCGCAUCCUGGGGCUGUAGUCGGUCCCAAGGGUUGGGCUGUUCGCCCAUUAAAGCGGUACGCGAGCUGGGUUCAGAACGUCGUGAGACAGUUCGGUCCCUAUCCGUCGUGGGCGUAGGAAAUUUGAGAGGAGCUGUCCUUAGUACGAGAGGACCGGGAUGGACAUACCUCUGGUGUACCAGUUGUCGUGCCAACGGCAUAGCUGGGUAGCUAUGUGUGGACGGGAUAAGUGCUGAAAGCAUCUAAGCAUGAAGUCCCCCUCAAGAUGAGAUUUCCCAACUUCGGUUAUAAGAUCCCUCAAAGAUGAUGAGGUUAAUAGGUUCGAGGUGGAAGCAUGGUGACAUGUGGAGCUGACGAAUACUAAUCGAUCGAAGACUUAAUCAA